RNAcentral lists this long non-coding RNA (326 nucleotides) under Trifolium pratense (red clover). RNAcentral describes it as "long non-coding RNA (TPRA_LNC000103)". Lineage: Eukaryota; Viridiplantae; Streptophyta; Magnoliopsida; Fabales; Fabaceae. The record is from RNAcentral.
CAGUUUUAUACUGAAAUUAAACUUAAUGCAGUUUUGCCACAAGAAUAAAUUUGACGAGUCUAUGAGGACAUCCAAGAGUGUUCUAUAAAAUGGUCCAAUCAAAGUGCCUAGAGGCCUAGACUACAAGUACACAAGGACAAACAACUGUCUGGUUAGUGUUCUCCUCGAUUCAAGUUCAUCUAUUUUUUUUCUUUAUUACUAUAGUUUUAAGAUUUUUUAGAAUGUAUAUUAAAUAAUUGAACGACCAAAUGUUAUAUUAAUGUAUUUAAAUUCUCAAAAUUUUGAUAAUGACAAAAUAGAAAGAGCAAAAAAAAUAGAGAGGAUCU